RNAcentral lists this ribosomal RNA (605 nucleotides) under uncultured bacterium. Its description in RNAcentral is "bacterial SSU rRNA". The stretch from base 1 to 521 matches the Rfam family "Bacterial small subunit ribosomal RNA", at positions 338 to 873 of the family's 1533-position model. The record is from RNAcentral.
CCUACGGGAGGCAGCAGUGGGGAAUAUUGCGCAAUGGGCGAAAGCCUGACGCAGCAACGCCGCGUGGGGGAUGAAGGCCUUCGGGUUGUAAACCUCUUUCAGCAGGGAAGAAGCGAAAGUGACGGUACCUGCAGAAGAAGCACCGGCUAACUACGUGCCAGCAGCCGCGGUAAUACGUAGGGUGCAAGCGUUGUCCGGAUUUAUUGGGCGUAAAGAGCUCGUAGGCGGUUAGUCACGUCGGAUGCGAAAUCCCGGAGCUUAACUUCGGGCCUGCAUUCGAUACGGGCUGACUCGAGUGUUGUAGGGGAGACUGGAACUCCUGGUGUAGCGGUGAAAUGCGCAGAUAUCAGGAAGAACACCGGUGGCGAAGGCGGGUCUCUGGGCAACUACUGACGCUGAGGAGCGAAAGCGUGGGGAGCAAACAGGAUUAGAUACCCUGGUAGUCCACGCCGUAAACGGUGGGCGCUAGGUGUGGGGAACAUUCCACGUUCUCUGCGCCGCAGCACGACAUAGCGCCCGCCGUCGGGAGGUACGGCCGCGACGACGUAAACUUAAACGUAAGUAGUAGACGCGNGAGACGCGACGACGACGACGACGAGGAGGAG